CCCUUAGAUGUUCUGGGCCGCACGCGUGUUACACUGACGCAUUCAUCAAGUUUUUCUCCUUGGCUGAGAGGCCUGGGUAAUCUUUGAAUGUGCGUCGUGAUGGGGAUAGAUGAUUGCAAUUAUUCAUCUUCAACGAGGAAUGCCUAGUAAACGCAAGUCAUCAGCUUGCAUUGAUUACGUCCCUGCCCUUUGUACACACCGCCCGUCGCUACUACCGAUUGGAUGGUUUAGUGAGUUCCACGGACUGGCGAUGUCGGAUUUAUCUCUGGCUUUGUUGGGAAGUGGAUCAAACUUGACUAUCUAGAGGAAGUAAAAGUCGUAACA
Molecule: ribosomal RNA, 324 nt
Filed under: uncultured eukaryote
Lineage: Eukaryota
Description: partial 18S ribosomal RNA
Rfam family: Eukaryotic small subunit ribosomal RNA
Source: RNAcentral